Molecule: unclassified non-coding RNA, 531 nt
Filed under: Hevea brasiliensis (rubber tree)
Lineage: Eukaryota; Viridiplantae; Streptophyta; Magnoliopsida; Malpighiales; Euphorbiaceae
Source: RNAcentral
UUGCCUCAAGAGUGGACAUACUGAUCCAAGAAUUAAUCCUUCUCAUGAUAUAUAGUGUUGUUUUUGUUGGACAAAAAGAAAGCAGGUAUAGAGGUAGAAGUAUCAAUUAGGGUUUUUAUGGGAUAUUUGGUUUUUACAUAGGAAAAGGAAUUGAAGAAGGGAAAUAAGAAAUUAAGACAGCUAGGGUUUUUUUUUUUUUGAGGGAAGUUUGCAGUCAGCUUUUUAGAUGAAAAGCAGCGAAAGGAAUGAAGCAAUAGACUAGUAGAAAAGGUAUUUUAUUUUUAUUUUUAUUAUAAUAAAUGGGUUAUGUCUUGAAAUUGAGGUUCUUUUGUAAGGGACAGGGAUGGAUUAGGUCUUGUGUUUUGAUUUUCUAGGCAUAAUCUGUGCUUGUGUUAUUUAUUUAGGGGAAGAUUUUGCUGGGAAAUAGAAGGUUGGGCAUGAGCUUUUUGAGGGAUUCAUCCGCAAACCUUUCAAGUCUUGUAAUGUCCCUUUGCAGCUAAAAGAUUCUAUAAUAAGAACAGCUCUUGUUAA